CACGGCAACGCAACUGCACGCGGAGACGACGGCGGGGGGCCCAGGCAGAGUUCUCUUUUCUUCUUAACGGUCUAUCACCCUGAAAACAGUCUGUCUGGAGAUAGGUUUCAAUGGCCGGAAGAGCCCGACACUUCUGUCGUGUCCGGUGCGCUCUCGACGUCCCUGGAAAAUCCGCGGGAGGAAA
This 184-nucleotide non-coding RNA is filed under the name Neurospora tetrasperma FGSC 2509. RNAcentral describes it as "Eukaryotic large subunit ribosomal RNA". It matches the Rfam family "Eukaryotic large subunit ribosomal RNA", at positions 1640 to 1825 of the family's 3401-position model. Lineage: Eukaryota; Fungi; Ascomycota; Sordariomycetes; Sordariales; Sordariaceae. The record is from Rfam by way of RNAcentral.